UACGUAGGGGACAAGCGUUGUCCGGAAUUAUUGGGCGUAAAGAGCUCGUAGGCGGUGUGUCGCGUCGGCCGUGAAAACCUGCAGCUUAACUGUGGGCUUGCGGUCGAUACGGGCAUCACUGGAGUUCGGCAGGGGAGACUGGAAUUCCUGGUGUAGCGGUGAAAUGCGCAGAUAUCAGGAGGAACACCGAUGGCGAAGGCAGCUCGCUGGGGCGGUACUGACGCUGAGGCGCGAAAGCGUGGGGAGCAAACAGG
RNAcentral lists this ribosomal RNA (254 nucleotides) under uncultured bacterium. Its description in RNAcentral is "partial 16S ribosomal RNA". It matches the Rfam family "Bacterial small subunit ribosomal RNA", at positions 524 to 776 of the family's 1533-position model. The record is from RNAcentral.